UGUCUUGUUUGUCACUAGAAAGUCUUAGGCUUCUAGGGAGGUUGGUUUUGUCCGCAAGAUUAACUAUUUCCGCCUGACAGGUAGCAUGCACACAAAUUACCCAAUCCUGACAUGGGGAGGUAGUGACAAUAAAUAACAAUAAUGGGCUCAUCGAGUCUGGUAAUUGGAAUGAGUACAAUGUAAAUCCCUUAACGAGGAUCCAUUGGAGGGAAAGUCUGGUGCCAGCAACCACGGUAAUUCUAGCUACAAUAGUGUAUAUUUAAGUUGUUGUAGUUAAAAAUCUCGUAGUUGGAUCUUGGGUCGUAAAGGUCGGUCCACCUGCUCUUUGUGCACCUGCCCUUCCAUCCCUUUUAUUGGCAGCGUGUUCCUGACCUUAAUUGGCUAGGUCGCAGCUCUGAUUCUAUUACUUUGAAAAAAUUAGAGUGCUCAAAGCAAGCUUAUGCUCUAAAAACAUUAGCAUGGAAUAACGUGAUAGGAGUCUCAUCCUAUUGUGUUGGCCUUCGGGAUCGGAGUAAUGAUUAAUAGGGACUAUCGGGGGCAUUCGUAUUUCAUUGUCAGAGGUGAAAUUCUUGGAUUUAUGAAAGACAUACCACUGCGAAAGCAUUUGCCAAGGAUGUUUUCACUAAUCAAGAACGAAAUUUGGGGGCUCGAAGAUGAUCAGAUAUUGUCCUAGUCUCAACCAUAAAUGAUGCUCACUAGGGAUUGGUGGAUGUUGCUCUCUAAGGACUCCACUAGCAUCUUUUGUGAAAUCGGAGUGUUUGGUUUCUCGGGGAAGUAUGGUCGCAAGGCUGAAACUUAAAGGAAUUGAUAGAAGGGCACCACUAGGAGUGGAGCCUAUGGCUUAAUUUUAAUCAACACGGGGAAACUUACCAGGUCCAGACAUAGUAAGGAUUGAUAGAUUCAGAGCUCUUUCUUGAUUCUAUGGGUGGAGGUGCAUGGCUGUUCUUAGUUGGUGGAGUGAUUUGUCUAGUUAAUUCUGAUAACGAAUGAGACCGCAGCCUACUAACUAGCUACGUAGAGGUUCCCCUUCAAAACCAGCUUCUUAGAGGGACUAUGGCCAUUUGGGCCAUGGAAGUUUGAGGCAAUAACAGGUCUGUGAUGCCCUUAGAUGUUCUGGGCCGAACGUGCGCUACACUGAUGCAGCCAAUGAGUUUUUCUUCCUGGUUCGAGAGGAUCAGGAAAUCUUCUCAAAUUGCAUCAUGAUGGGGAUAGAACAUUGCAAUUAUUGGUCUUCAAUGAGGAAUUCCUAGUAAGCGCAUGUCAUCAACUCAUGUUGACUAUGUCCUUACCCUUUGUACACACUACCCGUUGCUCCUACCGAUUGAAUGAUCUAGUGAAGUGUUCGGAUUGCGUCAACAAUGGUGGUUUGCCACCGUCAACGUUGUGAGAAGUUCAUUGAACCUUAUCAUUUAGAGGAAGGAGAAGUCGUAACAAAGUUACCGUAGGUGAACCUGCGAUAG
This 1460-nucleotide ribosomal RNA is filed under the name Pinus taeda (loblolly pine). RNAcentral's name for it is "SSU rRNA". It matches the Rfam family "Eukaryotic small subunit ribosomal RNA", at positions 414 to 1823 of the family's 1831-position model. Lineage: Eukaryota; Viridiplantae; Streptophyta; Pinopsida; Pinales; Pinaceae. The record is from RNAcentral.